This 253-nucleotide ribosomal RNA is filed under the name uncultured bacterium. Its description in RNAcentral is "partial 16S ribosomal RNA". It matches the Rfam family "Bacterial small subunit ribosomal RNA", at positions 524 to 776 of the family's 1533-position model. The record is from RNAcentral.
UACGUAGGGUGCGAGCGUUAAUCGGAAUUACUGGGCGUAAAGCGUGCGCAGGCGGCUUUGCAAGACAGAUGUGAAAUCCCCGGGCUCAACCUGGGAACUGCAUUUGUGACUGCAAGGCUAGAGUACGGCAGAGGGGGAUGGAAUUCCGCGUGUAGCAGUGAAAUGAGUAGAUAUGCGGAGGAACACCAAUGGCGAAGGCAAUCCCCUGGGCCUGUACUGACGCUCAUGCACGAAAGCGUGGGGAGCAAACAGG